RNAcentral lists this long non-coding RNA (2046 nucleotides) under Homo sapiens (human). RNAcentral's name for it is "non-protein coding MIR4435-2HG:42". Lineage: Eukaryota; Metazoa; Chordata; Mammalia; Primates; Hominidae. The record is from RNAcentral.
ACAAGUAUGAAGAGAAUGUCGGGAGAGGAAGUGGUGGCUAUGAGUCAGCAUGAGUCAUCUCGUUCCAAUGAGAAUGAAGGCUGAGGUGUGCGCCUUUUUUUUUUUUCCUUCUUAGUCGUGUGUACAUCAUUGGGAAUGGAGGGAAAUAAAUGACUGGAUGGUCGCUGCUUUUUAAGUUUCAAAUUGACAUUCCAGACAAGCGGUGCCUGAGCCCGUGCCUGUCUUCAGAUCUUCACAGCACAGUUCCUGGGAAGGUGGAGCCACCAGCCUCUCCCUGACAAGCAAAGUGGAUCAGCAAAGGCUGCAGUCACCAGCAUCUUUUCCAACCUUAAUGAACUGUAUCCUCAAAAGAACACUAUCAGACUGGCUCUGCCGACUUCCAGUUCUGGAACAAGAUGGUUAAACUCAUUUUUCCCUGCUCUGCUCCUCUAAAUACAACUAAGUACCUUGGAAACUAUUCAGCAGACAAUGAUAAAGGGCUCUGAAAGCUAGAAGAAAAGGUGUACUUGCAAGAAACCUCAGGACUUGAGUAACAGCAACAUGGAAAGGAGAAAGAGACUACCUACUGCAUUUCUGUCACUCGCUGAAAAGGACACUCUGUCAGAAAAUCUUCUAGCAAACUUCAAAGGGCAAAAUCACCCCUUGUUACUGAUAAAGCCCAGAGAGCUUCAGCAGCUAACAUUCCCUGGACAGGGCACAGCAAGGAUUUGAACCUAGCUCACCAAGCUCCUGUAUCUACUGGAAAAUGGAAGUCCAGCCUUACCAACUUGUGAACCUUGUCUGAAGGGAGCCAGGGCCUGCCAAUGGAACCACCUCCAGGAGCUGCAACUGCUGUUGUCAUUAAUACCAUUGUGUCUAUUUUUUGAGAGAGAUAAACUUUUCAUGGUGUUACAUUUUGGAAAAAAAAAAAAAAGACUAGGUGAACAGUCAGGUAGGAAAGCAGCAUAACAGUCCCUUAAAUUCUGAUCAUGUAGGACAUUCUUCUUUGCCCUGGGCCUGGGAAAAUGCAGCAUGUUCCAGAGCAAAAGUCCUAAUGAGGGGAACUAAACCAGUGGGACCCAAACCAAUGUCCUGGCUCACUGAGGACCCGUUAGAACCAAAUCUCUGGGUGUGGACAGGCUCCCAUACUUUUCAAAAAUUCCCCUGAUGACUAAUGAACAACCAGAGGUAAGAACCAGUGGCCCAGAGGAAUAACCAGCCCAGCUGUUGUACGAGCUCGCUAAGCUGGCUCAGGUCAAUGUUGAAUUCUCUGCUAGGCAGCUCCUCAUAAGAACUGGCAGAGAUGGUUCUUACACAACAACAGGUGACAACUCCAGACUCUGCCGGAAGUUCCAGGAUCUGGGUUCCCGGACAAUGCAUGACACUCAGUCCAGCAUUGCAGGUGGAAGAGCGACGGUGAAAAGACCAAAGUCAAUUAAAAUGUGUUAACCAAAACAGGAAACAUGAGUGAGGUGAUUGAGAGUGUGUUUAACUUAGAUGUGUGAUUUUAUCAAUACUUUCAUUGUUCAAAAACUCUUAUUUUUUAAAGAUAUUUUCAAAACAAAUCCAAACUUUACUUUUCAUUCCAAAUUCGUGUUCCGUCUAUACUUGCAUUUGGGGAAAGAUUGAAACAAAACACAAAUACUUUGUAGCAAUGUUGGAGUGUCAUGUUCUUUGCAGAGGGACAGGAAAAAAAAAGGAUUUUUUUUUCUUAUCAAGAGAUACUGUUUCCUCAAGGAGAAAGGGCAUCAGUCCAAGGCACUGGUUUGCUCAAAAAGAUUAGUAAAGAACAAGCAUAUUUUGUCUGUGGUGACAACAUGAUCUCCCCCCCCCCACUAGUAAACUCACAGCAUCAGUACGCAGGCAGUGUGAUGCAUUUUCAAAGUUCCUCACUUUUCCAGAUCCAACAGGACUCUUGUGCACAUACUCGGUGUUUCCAUGGCAAAUCCACUGUGUAUGAAAAUUAGACCCUUCCAAAAAACAAAUUUACUAGUCAGUAACCAUCAUCAGCACUUUUUUUCUGUACCAUGAAAUUUGGGAACAAAAUUAAAGGGCUCUUGAUUGAAA